CUGCAGGUCAUGAUCCACAUGAUAUCAUACAUUUAGUUCAAUGGCUGGAUGAAGAAUCUCUUACUGCCAUUAGCCCAAAGAUCCUGGGUCCACAUCCAAACUGUUACACUUACUCCAAAAGGCUAGCAGAAAGUCUCGUGUAUGAAGAAUCGAAACAUAUGCCUGUUGUUAUAUGUCGCCCAUCCAUAGUGACACCAGUUUUCAAGGAACCAUUGACAGGAUGGGUAGACAGUCUGAAUGGUCCUGUUGGUAUUCUUGUUGGUGCAGGAAAGGGAGUUAUUCGUUCUAUGCUUUGUGGACCAGAUUUUAAUGCCGAGAUUAUUCCUGUUGAUAUAGCAGUCAAUGGAAUUGUAGCAGCUGCAUGGGAUACAGCAGUCAGAAGGCCAGAGAAGAUGCCUGUGUAUAAUUUAUCAACAUCAUCCCUGGUGCAGAUUACAUGGGGUGAAGUGUUAGAACGUGGACGUCAGAUUGUGUAUGACAAUCCAUUUGAAGGUGCAGUUUGGUAUCCAGAUGGAAAUAUUCGUACAAAUCCAAUGGCACAUUAUCUCUGUGUACUCUUUUUUCACAUAUUUCCAGCGUAUAUA
This 584-nucleotide long non-coding RNA is filed under the name Locusta migratoria (migratory locust). Its description in RNAcentral is "partial Lnc05129". The record is from RNAcentral. Lineage: Eukaryota; Metazoa; Arthropoda; Insecta; Orthoptera; Acrididae.